RNAcentral lists this long non-coding RNA (803 nucleotides) under Homo sapiens (human). RNAcentral describes it as "non-protein coding lnc-SDCBP2-4:3". The record is from RNAcentral. Lineage: Eukaryota; Metazoa; Chordata; Mammalia; Primates; Hominidae.
GCAAGACCUUACCUGGGAGUCUGCUGGGACCCUCAUCUGACAGGCUCGGGGUCCGAGGCAGCCCUGCCCUGCAGUCAGCCAUCAGUGGUGUCCUCUAGCAGUGGCCAUGCUGAUCCCUCCACAGAGGGGCCUGUAGAGUUGCCCCUGGUCCCCAAUCCUUAGGGUGAUCGCUUACUUGCCUCCUCCCUAGGACAAAAAGAUCAUGGAGAUUCUGGCCACGGCUGGGAACGUUGUCACCCUGACCAUCAUCCCCAGUGUGAUCUACGAGCACAUGGUCAAAAAGUUGCCUCCAGUCCUGCUCCACCACACCAUGGACCACUCCAUCCCAGAUGCCUGAAGCCACUGCAGGGCAGGGCAGGCAGGGGGGGCUUCCCGCCCUCCUGCAGCAAAGGGCAACCACCCUCGGAUGAUGGGUUGCAGCCGGCCUGCUGCUUAAGGUGGGGGCUGCCAUGAGGGGGGCGUGUCCAGGAGGGUGACCAUGGGAUGGCUUAUACACACAGGCCUCCUUGGAGCCUCAGACUCCAAGCUAGGCUGAGGCUCAGGCAGGGCCCACAGGCAGCCGAUUCUCUUGUGCUGAUUUAAAUGCUGGACACGGAGGCAGGCUGUUUAAACGCUGCUUAAAGUCGCAACUGGGCCCCUUUCAAGAAAUUUUGCUCUACCAGGAAAACAGUUACACAUUUUAAGAGAACAGAGCUACGUUCUUUGUGAGAGCUUUUUCCUUGCCUUGACUUGCUCUUUGUCACAGACUGCAUAAGUUGUCAGCCUUGACUAUCUUUUGAAUAAAGAUUUGAUUUUAAACAAAA